This 397-nucleotide ribosomal RNA is filed under the name uncultured bacterium. RNAcentral describes it as "partial 16S ribosomal RNA". It matches the Rfam family "Bacterial small subunit ribosomal RNA", at positions 360 to 774 of the family's 1533-position model. The record is from RNAcentral.
AAUCUUUCGCAAUGGGCGAAAGCCUGACGCAGCCAUGCCGCGUGAAUGAUGUAGGUCUUAGGAUUGUAAUAUUCUUUCACCGGGGACGAUAAUGACGGUACCCGGAUAAGAAGCUCCGGCUAACUUCGUGCCAGAAACCGCGGUAAUACGAAGGGGGCUAGCGUUGCUCGGAAUUACUGGGCGUAAAGGGCGCGUAGGCGGACAUUUAAGUCAGGAGUGAAAUCCCAGAGCUCAACUCUGGAACUGCGUUUGAUACUGGGUGUCUUGAGUGUGAGAGAGGUAUGUGGAACUCCGAGUGUAGAGGUGAAAUUCGUAGAUAUUCGGAAGAACACCAGUGGCGAAGGCGACAUACUGGCUCAUUACUGACGCUGAGGCGCGAAAGCGUGGGGAGCAAACA